UACAGAGGUCCCAAGCGUUGUUCGGAUUCAUUGGGCGUAAAGGGUGCGUAGGCGGCGCAGUAAGUCGGGUGUGAAAUCUCGGAGCUUAACUCCGAAACUGCAUUCGAUACUGCCGUGCUUGAGGACUGGAGAGGAGACUGGAAUUUACGGUGUAGCGGUGAAAUGCGUAGAUAUCGUAAGGAAGACCAGUGGCGAAGGCGGGUCUCUGGACAGUUCCUGACGCUGAGGCACGAAGGCCAGGGGAGCAAACGGG
Molecule: ribosomal RNA, 253 nt
Filed under: uncultured bacterium
Lineage: Bacteria
Description: partial 16S ribosomal RNA
Rfam family: Bacterial small subunit ribosomal RNA
Source: RNAcentral